RNAcentral lists this ribosomal RNA (464 nucleotides) under uncultured bacterium. RNAcentral describes it as "partial 16S ribosomal RNA". It matches the Rfam family "Bacterial small subunit ribosomal RNA", at positions 30 to 507 of the family's 1533-position model. The record is from RNAcentral.
UGAACGCUGGCGGCGUGCUUAACACAUGCAAGUCGAACGAUGAAGCCCAGCUUGCUGGGUGGAUUAGUGGCGAACGGGUGAGUAACACGUGAGUAACCUGCCCUUGACUCUGGGAUAAGCCUGGGAAACUGGGUCUAAUACUGGAUAUGACUUCUCAUCGCAUGGUGGGGGGUGGAAAGAUUUAUUGGUCUUGGAUGGACUCGCGGCCUAUCAGCUUGUUGGUGAGGUAAUGGCUCACCAAGGCGACGACGGGUAGCCGGCCUGAGAGGGUGACCGGCCACACUGGGACUGAGACACGGCCCAGACUCCUACGGGAGGCAGCAGUGGGGAAUAUUGCACAAUGGGCGCAAGCCUGAUGCAGCGACGCCGCGUGAGGGAUGACGGCCUUCGGGUUGUAAACCUCUUUCAGUAGGGAAGAAGCGAGAGUGACGGUACCUGCAGAAGAAGCGCCGGCUAACUACGUG